GAUGAACGCUGGCGGCGUGCUUAACACAUGCAAGUCGAACGGAAAGAGCCUGCUCGUGUGGGGAGCUUGAGUGGCGAACGGGUGAGUCACACGUGCGUAACCUGCCUUUGACUUUGGGAUCACUUCAGGACACUGGGGAUUACACCGGAUUGGAGGUCCUGCUGCUUGGUGGGGGUUGGAAAGUUUCGGCGGUUGGGGAUGGACUCGCGGCUUAUCAGCUUGUUGGUGGGGUAGUGGCUUACCAAGGCUUUGACGGGUAGCCGGCCUGAGAGGGUGACCGGCCACAUUGGGACUGAGAUACGGCCCAGACUCCUACGGGAGGCAGCAGUGGGGAAUAUUGCACAAUGGGCGGAAGCCUGAUGCAGCAACGCCGCGUGCGGGAUGACGGCCUUCGGGUUGUAAACCGCUUUCGCCUGUGACGAAGCGUGAGUGACGGUAAUGGGUAAAGAAGCACCGGCUAACUACGUG
This 468-nucleotide ribosomal RNA is filed under the name uncultured bacterium. RNAcentral's name for it is "partial 16S ribosomal RNA". It matches the Rfam family "Bacterial small subunit ribosomal RNA", at positions 28 to 507 of the family's 1533-position model. The record is from RNAcentral.